UAAACUGAUUCUUUUCACUUUCUCGCAAGUUCGGAAACCUUUCCUUCACUUUCUCAUCAUCCAAACACCAAAACCAUCAACAACCAUGACAACAAUCAGUCUCCGGAAGGGAAACACACGUCUUCCACCGGAAGUUAACCGCGUCCUCUACGUUCGCAACCUUCCCUUCAACAUAACAAGCGAAGAAAUGUACGAUAUAUUCGGCAAAUACGGUGCUAUUCGUCAGAUCCGAAUCGGAACUAACAAAGACACGCGCGGCACCGCUUUUGUCGUUUACGAAGACAUUUACGACGCUAAAACUGCCGUCGAUCAUCUCUCUGGUUUCAAUGUCGCUAAUCGAUAUCUCAUCGUUCUUUAUUAUCAGCAUGCUAAGAUGAGUAAGAAGUUUGAUCAGAAGAAGAAGGAAGAUGAAAUUGCUCGUAUGCAGGAGAAGUACGGUGUUACUACUAAAGACAAGUAGUUCAUGAUACAUGUGCAGUAGAGGUGUCUGUGGCCACUAGAGGACAUGCAGUAGCGGAUCAGUUUUGUGAGUUUGUUGUACUAGGAUGUUUGGAUUGUGGAGAUUGCUAAAGGAUGUGCAGUAGAGGUGCCUGUGGCCACUAGAGGACAUGCAGUAGCGGAUCAGUUUAGUGUAGUGUGGCUGCUGUUGCGCUGCACCUCAGAGUGAGAUCGAAAGUUCCAAAUAGGCAUUUAUAAUUUACAUGUUUCGGCUUCUUGGUUGGGGUAUUUUAAGAAUUUUUCAAUUUAAAACACUAGAACAGUGCCUGGGUUUCUAUUCUCAACCUGUCUCACUGCUGCUGUCAUUUUACAAUUACAGCUAGUUUAGUUUUUAGUUUUUAUGUAUAGAAGUAUAAAAUAUAAAAAAUUUCAUAAUAGGGGAAAUUCUGCCAUCUGCUAUAGUGUUUUUAGGGGUCAGCCGCUAUGUAUGCUGUUCUAUCAAGGAUUGAUAACAUUAACUAUACAGUCUAUACUUCCAUGUUUGGGAUGUAUAGACCUAAAUCUGAAGAAGAUAUUGCUCUUUUGAGUGCAGGUAAUCUAUUGGGUAUAAACUUCUAAUUUGAUUUCAAAUAUAGCUGAUAUAAAUAUUUCAUUACUGUGGUAUUAUUUCAUUUUCUUGAGUUUGGUGAACUCAUCGAAACAAGAAAAAUUACUUCCCAAGAGCAUACUCAAAUAUUUUAGCGUAGAUUGAAAAAGUAGUAAUUGAAUGCUAAUGUGCUAGCAAUUGUUAAAAUUUACUGUCUUAAUCAAUGUCUAA
Molecule: non-coding RNA, 1255 nt
Organism: Cicer arietinum (chickpea)
Lineage: Eukaryota; Viridiplantae; Streptophyta; Magnoliopsida; Fabales; Fabaceae
Source: RefSeq, a predicted model, not a curated record